ACCACUCUGACAAUUUUGCUGGGGAGAAAAGUUUUCUUUACGGGAGAAGUACUGCCAAUCAGCGCAUUGAAGGGUGGUGGUCCAUCCUUCGCAAACAGAGCGCACAGUUCUGGAUUAAUUUAUUUCAAACUCUUCAGGAGGAUGGUCACUACACAGGAGAUUUUCUGGAUAAAAGUCUUAUCCAGUUCUGCUUUCUUAAUCUUGUGCAGGAUGAGCUGGAUGAAGUUGUGAACACAUAGAACUCACACAAAAUAAGACCAAGGUCGAACGGUGAUACAGCUUCAGGCCGGCCAGUCGUCAUGUAUUCAUUCCCUGCCAUGCACAGUGCCGAGGAUCGACUGAAACCCACUGGAAUGCAAGAUAUCACUGCGUGUAUGGAAGAGUGCACUCCAAAAUGCCAGUUUCCUUGCGAUGAAACUGUAUUUGAACUGUGUUGUCUGCUAAUGGAGGAAAAUGAAUGGCAUGCUCCAUCAGAUCCAUUGCAUGCAAGUGACUUGUAUCUUAUGUUGAGAGAGGAAUUACUGAAGAUUGUUUGACAAGCGUAUUGAUGUAAUACAUAUAAACUCAGAAAAUAAUUUUUCAGAUUUUUUUUAAUCAGUAGUCUGUAUACUCAGUUACUAUGUUUUUUUCGUCCUACAAUGCCUUCUUGACCUUUAAAUAUUCCUUAAUGACCCAAAUUAAACAGAAUAAUUCAUUGCAAAAUUGCAUUUUUUUAACUAUGCUUACCUGAUCUAUGGUUAUUCUUUUCCAUUUGUGACUAACAAGAUGUUACAUUUUGCUUGAAAUGUCCUGAACUUGACUGCUUAAAUAUGUAUUAAGUAUUAAUGUAUUACUUGUAUAUUAAAAAUUGUGUCUUUUCAUAGAAGGCAUCUGUACAACAUAAUACUUUAUUUUUAUAUACCAACAUUCAGGUGCAGUCAAGAAAUACAUAGUGGAUGAAGAGUGAGUUUAUUGAAUGCAAUAAAAUAUUACCACUCUUCAUUACAGAAGCAUUCACUUAAUACUAUGUAGCUGCUGAAAACAACCAUCCAAUGGUUAUGCAUAACAUCUUGGGUCAUUUUAAUAAAGCCCUAGAACUUUUAUAUAACUGGAACACAAUGCCAAAUGCAAGCUGUUUCUAUAAAAUUCUAAAAACUGUGAAGGAACGAAUACAAAGUUUGUUUCUAUUUGACCAAUACGAACAGUGAACAAAAUAUGUUGUGUUGAUGCAACUUACAACGGAUAAUUAACGGAGUUAUGGUUAUUGACAGAAUUAAACAAUAUCCAUGACCCAGAUAUUGCUUUCGAGAACGGCAUUGAAUUCUGAUCGGAAGUCUGGGAAAUUUUCAUAGCUGUCAGCAAUGUACAAAACCUUUCCACACGUGUCCCCCACUGGUCUUCUACUAAACUCUGUCAUUUGUUGAAACUGUUCCUCUCUGGUCAAAACCACACCACACUGACUUUCCCUCCGCCACCCCACGCCAUAAAGUCAGAA
This is a long non-coding RNA of Syngnathus typhle (broad-nosed pipefish), 1474 nucleotides long. RefSeq lists it as uncharacterized. The record is from RefSeq and is a predicted model, not a curated record. Lineage: Eukaryota; Metazoa; Chordata; Actinopteri; Syngnathiformes; Syngnathidae. The transcript has 2 exons.